This 484-nucleotide ribosomal RNA is filed under the name uncultured Acidobacteriota bacterium. Its description in RNAcentral is "bacterial SSU rRNA". It matches the Rfam family "Bacterial small subunit ribosomal RNA", at positions 8 to 522 of the family's 1533-position model. Lineage: Bacteria; Pseudomonadati; Acidobacteriota. The record is from RNAcentral.
AGAGUUUGAUCAUGGCUCAGAAUCAACGCUGGCGGCGCGCUUAACACAUGCAAGUCGCACGAGAAAGCGGGAGCAAUCCCGCAAGUACAGUGGCGUACGGGUGAGUAACACGUGGGUGAUCUACCCUUUAGUGGGGAAUAACGCUGGGAAACCGGCGCUAAUACCGCAUAAGCUCGAGAGAGGAAAGCAGCAAUGCGCUGAAGGAGGAGCCCGCGGCCGAUUAGCUAGUUGGGAGGGUAAAAGCCUACCAAGGCAUAGAUCGGUAGCCGGCCUGAGAGGGCACACGGCCACACUGGCACUGAAACACGGGCCAGACUCCUACGGGAGGCAGCAGUGGGGAAUCUUGCACAAUGGGGGGAACCCUGAUGCAGCGACGCCGCGUGAGCGAUGAAGCCCUUCGGGGUGUAAAGCUCUUUCGUCAGGGACGAUAAUGACGGUACCUGGAGAAGCAGCUGCGGCUAACUACGUGCCAGCAGCCGCGGUA